CCCUGGCGGCGAAGGGGACGCUGCAACGCGGAGCGGGAGCACGAGGAGGGAAGGGGCUUGGCAACGGGCCGCAAAGAGGCCGAGACCCCGGGAGUGCCGGCAGCGCUCUUUAGCACGCCUGGAGGCUCCUGCAGAGCCCCGGAACCGCCCGAACCUCCAGAAAUGCAGGCAGAGUGCACUCCCCAGGGGGUACAACUUUGGCAAUGAGGACUACAGAGGUCCGAGGAGAACCGGAGACCCGAGGAGCGUGAAGGCACUCUAUGACACCACUGCCUACAAACGCAGGGGCUGGAAUGCAGUGACAGGACACUGCUGGGAGGAAGGGCUCCCAGCGCCUCCGUGUGGGGCUGCCUCCACUCCCAGUACCGUGAGCGGGGACUAGGACGACCCUGGUAACUCAGCCACAGGAUAUCAGUUCUCAGAAUAGAAGAGAAGCCAGGUCUGGCAGCACCUGAUGAUGACAAAGUCUCACUCAGUUGCCCAGGCUGGAGUGCAGUGGUGCCAUCAUAGCUCACUGGAGACUUGACCUCCCAGGCUCAAGCAUUCCUCCCACCUCAGCCUCCCAAGCAGCUCGGACUACAGCAUUUCCAAUUAAUCUUGGAAUGAGAGCCGAGGGCAAGAAGCCAGCGGUGCCUGAGGGAUGGUAAAGAGACAACCGAUCCAGGGAAACAAAUGCCAGCAAGGGACCCCACAGCAAAGAGACAGACACUGUGAGCAACUCUCCUGUUACCAUGAGGCUUGCGAGGCGUGUGCACGGGUCUCCGCAUUGGCACCAUCUGCCAAUUCCUCAGGAGGACAGAACAAACCAGUGAGGCAUGAAGAUUAGAUUAUGUAACGCUCGAGGAUUGCUGUUUUCAAAGAGGAAACAAAUGGAACGAAUUGAUUUGCUUGUCAAAGUCAUGUCACUAAAGGAGAUCUAUUCCCUCCCAUUCUAAGAGGACCUCAUUAAAGAGUGGAAUGAUUUCACAGAUUCAGAAAAUGUGAGACCACAAUCCACUCCAUUCAUAGGAGCAAGUCCACUUUCCAGAGUCGCACUCACACAUUCUAUUCUGGUCCCCGGGCCUGAAAAAAUGUCUAUCCAGCUACAACCUAAAGGGUACUGACCUGGUGAGGGACAUAAUUGUCAGUUGCUAGCCAUAAGAUUCACAGCCAGAGGCCAGGCGUCAUGGCUCACGCCUGUAAUCCUAGCACUUUGGGAGGCCAAGGUGGGUGGAUCAUGUGAGGUCAGAAGUUCAAGACCAGCCUGGCCAACAUGAUGAAACCCCGUCUCUACUAAAAAUACAAAAAUGACCUGGGCGUGGUGGCACACACCUGUAACCCCAGCUACUCAGGAGGCUGGUGCACGAGAAUCACUUGAGCCCAAGAGGCAGAGGUUGCAGUGAGCCAAGAUCACACCACUGCACUCCAGCCUGGGCGACAGAGUGAGAUGCUGUCUCAAACAAAAUAAAAAUAAAAAAUCAGCA
Molecule: long non-coding RNA, 1463 nt
Organism: Symphalangus syndactylus (siamang)
Lineage: Eukaryota; Metazoa; Chordata; Mammalia; Primates; Hylobatidae
Source: RefSeq, a predicted model, not a curated record